Prunus avium (sweet cherry) is the source of this 436-nucleotide non-coding RNA. The record is from RefSeq and is a predicted model, not a curated record. Lineage: Eukaryota; Viridiplantae; Streptophyta; Magnoliopsida; Rosales; Rosaceae.
GUCAGAUCAUGGUGAGAGGACAGGUGGUUUCUAUGCUUGUAACCGUUAUGAAGCAGCCAAUAAAAAGGGAGUUAAGAGAAAUGGCCAAGCAUUCUAUGGAGAGAUACACUCAUUAUUAUGAAUGUUGGGCAAGAAAUCAGUUGUCGAGGCAAAAAGUUCUUGCGGAUUGGCAUCAAAUGUGAACUGUUAAUAUGGAGAAGCUUAGAGACAUACAGCGAGGACCUGAGUCUCAGCUCAAGUUCAUAGCUGAUACCUGGCAGGAGAGUGCUGAAAUGGACUUAUGCUUAUGGGUACUACCUACCUGAGAAUGAGCAUGCAAAGAGGCAAUUUUUUGAGUGCUUGCAAGGUGAGGCAGCGUCUGGUUUGGAAAGGCUUCAUCAGCGUGCAUUGUUAAAACCGCAGGAGGUUCCUGAGUGUGUGAGAUCUGUAUUUGAUG